GUAGAGUUUUGAUCAACAAAACACCAAGCAGCACCGAUUUGCUACCAAAAACCACCAGAUGGGUAAAAACACCACUUCCAACUUCGAGGCAAACAAAACAAGAGCAGUAUGGGGAGAUCCAAGUUGGACAACUACUUUUUGUAACCUUUGUGUGGAAGAGAUUGAAGCUGGGAAUAAAGGAAUCUUUGCUGCCUUAAGUGCCAAAGGUUGGAGCAAUUUAGUAAUCAAAUUUUGUGAUGAGACUGGUCUAAACUAUGAUAAGGAACAAUUAAAAUGUAGGUGGGAUGUAUUAAAAGCAGAUUGGAGAGUGUGGGAAAAAUUGAAGGGUCUUGACACAAAUUUAGGUUGGGAUGCAGUGAAGGGAACAAUUGAUGCUAGUGAUGAUUGGUGGGACAUGAAGUUGAAGAUGAGUUGAGUAUUUUAUUAAUAUGUAGCUAGUUUGAAAUAGUUAUGUAUAUUAUUGUAAUAUGAGUGAAAUGACAAUUACAUUUUGUAGGAAGUACCCAAAGCUUCAAAAUUUCGACAUAAAGGUCUACAAAAUCUACAACAACUUGAUAGAAUGUUUAGGGAUGUUGCAGCAACCGGAGCAGAACUCAUGUAGUACAAUUUUUUUUUUUAUAUUUUUAUGUAGUACAAUUUAAACUUGGAUUAUUGAUAUGUAUUUUAUUAUCUUUUUACAUUUUUAUGUAGUACAAUUUAAACUUAGAUUAUUGGUGUAUAUUUUAUCAUCUUUUUACAUUUUCA
This is a long non-coding RNA of Quercus robur (English oak), 744 nucleotides long. RefSeq lists it as uncharacterized. The record is from RefSeq and is a predicted model, not a curated record. NCBI's taxonomy places the organism in Eukaryota, Viridiplantae, Streptophyta, Magnoliopsida, Fagales, Fagaceae. The transcript is spliced from 2 exons.